UUUUUUGCAUAAAUUCUUCACUAUUUUCACAGCAGAUUCAGUUUUGCCAUUAGCUUGUGGAUGACAUGGUGAAGAAGUCACAUGCUCAAACUCCCAUUCAGUGGCAAAUUUCCUGAACUGUAAGCUUGCAAACUGAGGACCAUUUUCAGAAAUCACUUUAGUUGGUUGGCCAUGACGUGCAUGACCUUGCAUCGAUUAAUUGUAGUUUCAGUGGACAGGUCAGGAAGCAGUUCAAUUUCCCAGAAGUCUGAGUAAUGAUCGACUAAGAGCAGGUACUCUUUUCCA
Pelobates cultripes (western spadefoot toad) is the source of this 285-nucleotide non-coding RNA. Lineage: Eukaryota; Metazoa; Chordata; Amphibia; Anura; Pelobatidae. The record is from the annotation of a GenBank genome assembly.